RNAcentral lists this unclassified non-coding RNA (292 nucleotides) under Hevea brasiliensis (rubber tree). The record is from RNAcentral. Lineage: Eukaryota; Viridiplantae; Streptophyta; Magnoliopsida; Malpighiales; Euphorbiaceae.
GGUUCUGGCAUUGUCGUUUAUAGAAGGCACAGUUGGGAGGCCGUUCUAUCCGCUGCCUAGUAAGGUGGAGUUGAAGAACAGAUUGCCUCUGCAGAGUUUCCGGCCGUAUAAUAUCGCUCACCGGGGGUCGAAUGGGGAGAUCCCCGAAGAAACAGCUGAAGCGUACAUGAGAGCUAUUGAAGAAGGUGCAGACUUCAUAGAAACUGAUAUUCUCGCAACCAAAGAUGGUAAACUCAUAUGCUUUCAUGAUGUAAUACUGGAUGACAUGACUGACAUCGCCAAUCACAAGGAG